RNAcentral lists this ribosomal RNA (253 nucleotides) under uncultured bacterium. RNAcentral's name for it is "partial 16S ribosomal RNA". It matches the Rfam family "Bacterial small subunit ribosomal RNA", at positions 524 to 776 of the family's 1533-position model. The record is from RNAcentral.
UACGACGGGUGCUAGCGUUGUUCGGAAUUACUGGGCGUAAAGCGCACGUAGGCGGAUAUUUAAGUCAGGGGUGAAAUCCCGCAGCUCAACUGCGGAACUGCCUUUGAUACUGGGUAUCUUGAGUAUGGAAGAGGUAAGUGGAAUUCCGAGUGUAGAGGUGAAAUUCGUAGAUAUUCGGAGGAACACCAGUGGCGAAGGCGGCUUACUGGUCCAUUACUGACGCUGAGGUGCGAAAUCGUGGGGAUCAAACAGG